GUUUUGGGCAUGAAAAGUGACGACAGCAAACGCGUUAACGAAUGUCGACUGCUGACUGCGAUUAGUUCCGAGACACGCGCUUGCAUUUGAAUGUCUUUGGACGCCCACUGAAUAUAUAGAGUCUAUACUCGUAGUGGAGCUGGCACACAGGGCCAGAGUUACACAUGUGCGGGCCAGCCAGAUGAUAAGUCCAUUUGUCUCGUCUGGGCCACGCCUAAUUCAGUUUGGACGUUAUUCAAUUUCCCGGCCAACCUGUGCUUCCAUCUAGGCAACUUGUGCCAUCAGCCAGGGGGCGUUGUCGGAAAUUUACAUAAACAUGGGGCUCACGGAAAGCCUUUAAAUGGAAUCCAAAAUAUUCUCAAGGACUUCCAUGUUAAUGACCAUGUUAUUAAUGAAUUUUUAAUAUCAUUUUCAUUGAGUCUGCUCUGGACACACAAAUUUGAUUGAAUUUUGCGGCAGCGUACAGUGGUUCCCAUUGUAUGGGGAAAGCGGCCAAAAAUACUUUAGUUGAGGUAGACACUUGAAACUUAGCACAACAUUUUCUUAUUUUUGUAUAUGAAAAAAUCAGCCGGAUCGGACCACUAUAUCAUAUAGCUGUCAUAUGAACGAUCAGUUUGAAAUUAAGUGUUAGUAUGUACAACUUUUUUUUUCAAUUAUUUUGAAACGAAAACUUCUACAUAAGAAAUUACCGAGACGGGAUCGACUACGGAACCGAGUACUAAAUAUACUAAAUACCAUUAUUUAUUAUACGAAUGCCUUCCAUUGCAGAGUAAUGUCGAUUUAUAAGGUUUUUUAUUGACUUUAGGGACAGCUUCACUUGCAACUUGCUCACGCUGCAAUAAUAUAUUGAUAUCAAGCUGUCUCUUUCGAUGCUGUUCUAGAAGCGGAAUAGCUAACCAAUUAUUUGGACAAUUUGGACAUUGAUUUUUUUAUUUUUGGCCUAUGGGGGAACCACUGUGCAGCGGUAGGUUCAUUUUAAAUCGAAAUAUUAACUUUAAUUAAUAAGGCAAACAAUGUGGGCUUAAUUGCGGGUGUUUUUAAGUUUAGAUAAAUAAAGACUUCCAAAAAUAACUUUUAA
Molecule: long non-coding RNA, 1078 nt
Organism: Drosophila simulans
Lineage: Eukaryota; Metazoa; Arthropoda; Insecta; Diptera; Drosophilidae
Exons: 2
Source: RefSeq, a predicted model, not a curated record